CUGCCCAGUGAUUAAGUUUUAACGGCCGCGGUAUCCUAACCGUGCAAAGGUAGCAUAAUCACUUGCCUAUUAAUUGUAGGCUAGAAUGAACGGAUAAACGUAAUAAAAACUGUCUCUCCCAUUGAGCUAUAAAUUAACAUUUGUACGAAGAGUGACAAAUACAAUCGAAGGACAAGAAGACCCUAUAGAGCUUUAUUUUAAGUAUUGGUAAUACCAUAUAAAAAUUCGGUUGGGGCGACCAAGGGAAUACCUAACACCCUGUGAUAUAAAGAUAUAUAAAUCUAGUAAUUGACCCUAAUAAGAUCAUAAGAACAAGCUACCUUAGGGAUAACAGGCUAAUUCUAUUAAAGAGUUCAUAUCUACAAUAGAGUUUGGCACCUCGAUGUAUGGCUUAGGGUAUCACCUUAGCGCAAAA
This 415-nucleotide ribosomal RNA is filed under the name Maoridrilus n. sp. 1 TRB-2010. RNAcentral's name for it is "partial 16S ribosomal RNA". It matches the Rfam family "Bacterial large subunit ribosomal RNA", at positions 1859 to 2560 of the family's 2925-position model. Lineage: Eukaryota; Metazoa; Annelida; Clitellata; Crassiclitellata; Acanthodrilidae. The record is from RNAcentral.